GCAUCUGUUUUUUAACAGAGCUGAAAGCUUAUCCAGGCUAUCUUAGUUCAAACUGCUAUCUUCUGUUGAGGCCUUGUGACAGGAAGCAGCCAUCCCCCAUCACUGUAUAAAAAGGAGAGUUAUUGUUUAGAAAGUUCAAGUUUGUUUUACUAAAAUGUGGGUUUAAACUGCUGUUCGCCUUUGACCUUUAAAGAAAACACAUAGACACAAUUAUAGUUUACUAAGCUGCCUUGGAAAGAAGCAUCAUGAUUGCAUGCUAUGUGAAAGUUAUAGUGCUCACGUCUUAGCACUCUGUAGUAAUCAGUGCAAAUGGCUAAAAACUAACAUAAAACUGGUAUUGGUGAUAUUAAAUGUAAGUUUGUAAUAAUGCAAAUAUGUACACACUACUACUACUACUACUACUACCACCACCAAAGAGUAAAAGGUUUGCUACUGGGACUAUGCAACUACUGUAUAACCAGAUAUGAAAGUGGGUUGAUGUACAAUGGUUGGGAAGAACAACCAGUCCACACACAAUAGCCAAUAUGUGAUAUUUCACUUUCCACACACUUUCUGCUGGAAGCCAGAAGCCUGUGAAGAUAAUAAAUCAUCUGGAAGACCAAUUUCAUGCAUUCAGUCAAGUAAUAACCAGAUCUAUGAUGCAUCAAGUGAAUAACUCAACCUAAAUAAAAGUGUUUCAGUAAUAAAGAGGGGUGGAACAUUUUAUACUAAAUUAGAAUUUUCAGUGUUUGCUUCAUGAUGCAGUUAGAUUUUGAGGGGUAUUUUAAAAAUUGAAGUAAUGGAAACAUUCUGAUGAACACGACUGUUUUGGCACUCUUCCCAUAUUUAACAGCAUGUAAUGUUUAUGUCAUAAUGUUUAUUUGGCAAAGAUAUCUGCAGCACAACAUGCCUUUUGAUAGUUGUGGCAAGUACCAUAAAAUAUAUGUUGGAAUGAUCUUAGAAUACAAUCUGAAUGUUUUGAAACUCUUGCCUUUAAUCUCCACAUCUUUUCUUUUGUAUUUUUAUACCCCUGUCUGCUUAUUUAUCUUUAAACUUAAAGGUGUGGUUUGACAUACAUCAAUCUUCCUUCAUUUUUGUGGUCCAGCACAUUUUCUAAUAAUAUGGUUACUGUGUAGAUGGAGGGUUGCCAGAAACUACAGUACAACCAAUAGAAGAGUACAGAGAAAGGAGAAUUUUUGUUAGUAGUAAGUACUUGGUGCAAUACAGGUUUGUGUUUGCACCUUGUCAACAAGAUAUUUGUCACUCAAAGACACUACAUUAUGCCAUAUGUUCAGUGUUUUAUGCAAUAUGCUCAGCACAGUAGCAUUACAGAUGAAGUAGCAUUGGGAGAAGAGCAAUAACUCAGUGAUAAAGCACAUGCUUUGCACCCAAAAGAUUCCAGUUCCAGUCCAUGGCAUCUACCGGCAGGGGUGGGAAAGACUGGAUCCAGAUCGCAUCCACCUGAGAAUUUGCAAAGAACUCAAAUGUGAAAUCCCUAAUCUUCUAACAAAAAUGUAUAACUUGUUCUUCAGAUAGCCUCCAUACCUGAGGAUGGGAAAAUAGCCAAUUUAGCACAAUUUUUAAAAACAAUUGUGGUUGAGCCUAGAAAUUACUGAGCCAGCAUGACUUCUGCACAGGCAAGCCCUGUCUCACAAACCUAUCAUUUAUCAUUUAUUUAUUAAAUUUGUAUAUCACCCUUUAUUCGAAGAGCACAGGGUGGGUCACGACAUACAAAAUGAGAACACAGAAUACAUAACCAAAAACCAAUGAGUCCACUUUCACAAACACAAUAAAAAGGCCAUAGGUUGUUUAAUCAGCAGCCAAAGGCCUGGUUGUAAAGAAAUGUUUUCACCAAACUGUAUGUAACAAAGGCACCAGGCGAGCCUCACUGGGGAGAGCAUUCCACCAUAGACACCAGACUAUGCGGCGCCCUGGGUUCCCACAAAUUAUAAAGGAAGGGGUGCCCCCCCAAGAUUCCACUUGGUGGCAUGCACACGCCACGGGACAUGUGUGUGUCACAUUGGCAUCAUGCACGAGUUACAUCAGCAUGCUGCAGGUGUACUGACAUCACACACACAUGCUUGCACACCUCAGGCACCCGCUGUCGCGGGGACAAGGUGACAUGCCUGCAUUCCACAAAUGGGGAGUCACUUUAGAAAAGGCCCGCUCUCAUGUUGUCACCCAUCAGACCUCUCGUGGAAGGGAGUACACAAAGAAGGGCCUCAGAUUAUGAUUUCAGGGUCUGGUCAGUUCAUAUGGGGAGAGGCAGUCCUUGAGGUACCCCCAAGAUAUGGUGAUAUCGGUUUCAUAAUUUUUGACCUGGCAAUGUAUCAUGAACAUGAUUGUGUGCUAUGCAAAAAUCAUGAUUCAGGGAAAACCAUGAAGCCAGCCAAUGCCUCUACAUAGCUCCAUCCUUAUUUCAGACAUUGUAAUAUAUUGGUAUAUCGCGAUGUUUAGCUGGUGAUAUAUCACGAUACAGUAUUCAAAAUCAGAUAUCACCCAGCCCUAACCUUGGUUUGUAGUAGAUAGCUCAAACUUUCGUCUGGUGGUCCACAAGCUCCCUUCAGGCAGUCUGUGGAAAGGGAGCAGAGCAGUCAAGAACUUGAUUUAUUUUUUUCUAAUAAUGAUAUUUCAACACAAGGGAUGGAUCUAAGACACUGCCUUAGGAUUUUCUUAAUUUGAAAAGGCACCAAAGAAAGACGUUUAUGCAUUUAUGUGUUUAAAACCCCAGCAAUUUUUGAGUGGUCAGUCCAAAAAAAGUUUUUAAAAAUCCAAGUAUAUAAAAUAAUCCAGAAAAAGGAGUUAGAGGGUUUCUUGUGUUGCUGUGUUGCUCCAGAACAGUGGAUGAGUUAGCACACUUUUAAAAAACUAGUGCAGAAAUUUUGGUUAUAAUAAACAUAUAUUUCUAGGGCCUCUUCAUAUUUUGUUGCUUGACUAAAUUACUUAGGUAUUCGUUCAUAUUUCUUAAUAUUAAAUUCCCAUUGUUUACCAUUUGUAGGCUUAUUUUUAUAUUAAAUUCCAAUGGUUGUCUUCUAAUCAAAAGGCUUGUGCAGACUGUAGCUCCAUCUUCCUUUGUUUUAACAGUUGUGGGUUUUGUGGCACCUACUAAAAUAUCCUCAAACAAUUCCUAGUGUGUGUUAACAAUAACUCUAUUGAAGUUUCGUUCCCAGCCAUUGCUUUUAAGCAAAGGAAAACCUCUUUUAAAGCCUGAGUAUACAGAUUAUUGGCUCUUGACAAAAAGGAAAUGAAGCAAGAUCAGGAUUUAUGUUGUGUUAGGAAAUAACCAUUUAGAUGCAGGCUCCAUAUUUUAUUAUGGAUUAUUGUGCUUAAAAUUCGUGUACUGUUUUCGAGAAUUCUAGGCUAGUUUUGCUACUGGCUUUAGUUUCUACAAACAGCUUUUACGCUGAAGUCACCCAUAUUUAAGCUUUCACUUGCACAGAUGUUUAACAUGCUGUGGAGGGAACCUAGCAGCAGUAGACAACCAUCAGGAGGGAGAAGCAUUGGAUGUCAUGCACUUGACCUGAUUCCUUGACCAAAGGGGCACAGGGUCAGCUAUUGGGAACAAUCCCAGAGAAACAUUAAAAAAAAAACCACACACACAAAAACACGAAACAAAAGGAUGUAGGACAUGAGUAAGUGAAACACUAAGAAGCAAAAAUAAAGUAUAAGUUGUUAGACCAGUAAGAAAGGGGGGGGAGCAAUAAAUAAAUUAUGCAACAUUUAUAUGUAAGAACUUGGUGAUCUGUUACUUUCUAGUGAAUGUGUUCUGUAUAAAAAAUAAAUGGUGGCUAUAAAUGAUGGUCUGCAUGUAGCAAAUACUUGAAUAUAUAAUCAAAAUCUAUUUGCUUAGUAUCUUUUUUGAGAUACAUUUAUUAUAUUUCUCAGCAUCUUUUUUUUUUUUAAUUAUCAGUGGUUGUCUUUACAAAGCACCCUAGGUAAAGGUACCCCUGACCGUUAGGGUCCAGUCGCAAACGACUCUGGGGUUGCACGCUCAUCUUGCUCUAUAGGCCGAGGGAGUCAGUGUUUGUCCACAGACAGGUUCUUGGUCAUGUGGCCAGCAUGACUAAGCCGCUUCUGGUGCAACAGAACACUGAAACCAGAGCAACGCACGGAAACGCUGUUUACCUUCCCGCCGGAGCAGUACCUAUUUAUCUACUUGCACUGACAUGCUUUCAAACUGCUAGGUGGGCAGGAGCUGGGAUCAAACAACAGGAGUUUACUCUGUCGUGGAGAUUCGAAGCGCUGAUCUUCUGAUCAGCAAGCCCUAGGCUCUGUGGUUGAGACCACAGUGCCAACCGCAUCCCUACAAAAGUACCCUAUAUAAUUUGGAUGUGGGGUUUUUGGUUUGGUAGUAUAGCCUACUGUAUUUGCACAUCUGGUGAAUGGAGUGGCUGUGAUUGUGCCGUAGAAAAUUCCCUUGCUCAAAGGUCACAUUGGCAACAAAUUUACUAGGAUGUUGUAUGCUAAUCAAUAUUCAAUAUUUUAUCCCUUCUCCUUAGCCCAGAAUUUGGUUAUGAUAAUACUCUCCUACCUGGCAUGGUCAUUGCAAAUGUUGCUGCUGCAAUGCAUGUGAAUCUCUUUAAACACUUGAAGUGAGUUGUAAAUAGGCUAUAUAAAUUCUAAGUGUUUUUAUUUGAUGGCCAUUGAACCAUUUUGUGUUUCAACAAUUGUGGUAAAUAUCAGUAUAAAUUAUAAAAGGAAAAGGCUCAUUUGCAAUACUGUUAUGAAUCUUAAGCUGUUGGGGAGAUUUGGCCUGAUUUUUCCUUUCCAGAUUGUUGUUGAUGUCACAAGCUAAAUUAGAAACCUUUGAUGAGAAAGAAGGAGAGGAGGAAUAUAUAUAAUCUAUUUGAUGAGAAAGAGGGAGGGGAAGAAUAUAUAUAAACUAAGAGCCUUUGAAAAAUUCAUAAAGUGGGAUAU
Molecule: non-coding RNA, 4896 nt
Organism: Podarcis lilfordi (Lilford's wall lizard)
Lineage: Eukaryota; Metazoa; Chordata; Lepidosauria; Squamata; Lacertidae
Source: the annotation of a GenBank genome assembly